AUACGUAGGGGGCAAGCGUUAUCCGGAUUUACUGGGUGUAAAGGGAGCGUAGACGGAAGGCCAAGUCUGAUGUGAAAGCCCGCGGCUCAACUGCGGGACUGCAUUGGAAACUGGUCAUCUGGAGUGCAGGAGGGGUAAGCGGAAUUCCUAGUGUAGCGGUGAAAUGCGUAGAUAUUAGGAGGAACACCGGUGGGGAAGGCGGCUUACUGAACUGUAACUGACGUUGAGGUUCGAAAGCGUGGGGAGCAAACAGGAUUGGAUGCCCUGGUAGUCCACGCCGUAAGCGAUGAAUACUAGGUGUCGGGUUUCUAUAGAGAUUCGGUGCCGCAGCAAACGCAAUAAGUAUUCCACCUGGGGAGUACGUUCGCAAGAAUGAAACUCAAAGGAAUUGACGGGG
This 397-nucleotide ribosomal RNA is filed under the name uncultured bacterium. RNAcentral's name for it is "partial 16S ribosomal RNA". It matches the Rfam family "Bacterial small subunit ribosomal RNA", at positions 523 to 918 of the family's 1533-position model. The record is from RNAcentral.